AUACAAUGUUGUUGAACUUAGUGUGAAAAGUAUAUUUUUCACAGCAAAACUUGGAACCCUUAAUAUUUUUCUUUGUUUCAUAUAAAAUCCUAGCACAUAUGGAAUUUGUUUUGCUUCUAUUUCUUGGUUUGUUCAAGUUGGCGUUGAUUUUGGAGACUUCUGCUAGUGGAUAUUGUCAAGACCAAAAGUGGUGUUUACAAGAAGACACCUGGAAAUGUCUCGAGCCAAGCAAUUGUUCUGAACAUGAGACAUGGAACAAGCCGGAUUCACAAACAG
Long non-coding RNA from Ruditapes philippinarum (Manila clam), 276 nucleotides. RefSeq lists it as uncharacterized. Lineage: Eukaryota; Metazoa; Mollusca; Bivalvia; Venerida; Veneridae. The record is from RefSeq and is a predicted model, not a curated record. The transcript has 3 exons.